AGCUCGGGGUCCAAGGGGCACUCCUGCGGUGCUGCAAAGGAGGAUUUGUGACAACCCAGAGGAUGGAGGAAACGGCGGCUUUGAAAAGAUUCGUGCUGUGCACUAACAUGCAAUACAAAUACUGAUGAAAAUAAAACUAUUGCCCUCCUACCAAAUGAGAAAUUAAUGUUAUGACUGGUUGAAGACAAUUGUGAAGAAACUGCACUUUGAGGUUGUCUAUCUCUGUAUUCUGAUGGAAAAGCGUGGAGUUUAGAAGCACUGCUCGCUCCUUCAGUUUCUAACAAGUUCGAGACUAUGGUUAGGUGGUGAGGAAGGCAGGCUCAGCACCCAAGCCUUGGGGAGAUGCAGAAAGGGCCCAUCCCAGGCACUCAGGUGGAGUAAAACUGAUGCUCCGGAAAGAUGCCCAGGGAGAUUCUGUCCUGCUGCGUCCGCACUGUACAGAACUGACGCUGUGCCUACGCCCGUUUCAGAAGCGUGGAGUACUUAAGAGUUAAUCUAAA
This 500-nucleotide long non-coding RNA is filed under the name Pan troglodytes (chimpanzee). RNAcentral's name for it is "long non-coding RNA NONPTRT015655". Lineage: Eukaryota; Metazoa; Chordata; Mammalia; Primates; Hominidae. The record is from RNAcentral.